UAAUAUCUCCAGUCUUUUACAUGUUAUGACAGUCUUUAACGUUAGAUGUGAGAUGAUUGUCUUUAAAUUGAGAUAGUGUCAGACUUAAGCAUUUUCCAAG
Etheostoma spectabile (orangethroat darter) is the source of this 100-nucleotide long non-coding RNA. RefSeq lists it as uncharacterized. The record is from RefSeq and is a predicted model, not a curated record. NCBI's taxonomy places the organism in Eukaryota, Metazoa, Chordata, Actinopteri, Perciformes, Percidae. The transcript has 4 exons.